GAUGAACGCUGGCGGCGUGCCUAAUACAUGCAAGUCGAGCGAACGGACGAGAAGCUUGCUUCUCUGAUGUUAGCGGCGGACGGGUGAGUAACACGUGGAUAACCUACCUAUAAGACUGGGAUAACUUCGGGAAACCGGAGCUAAUACCGGAUAAUAUUUUGAACCGCAUGGUUCAAAAGUGAAAGACGGUCUUGCUGUCACUUAUAGAUGGAUCCGCGCUGCAUUAGCUAGUUGGUAAGGUAACGGCUUACCAAGGCAACGAUGCAUAGCCGACCUGAGAGGGGGAUCGGCCACAGUGAAAAGGAGAAAAGGACCAAAAUCGUACGGGAGGCAACAGGAGGGAAUUUUCGGCAAGGGGCGAAGGCCAGAAGGGGAAACGCGGCGAGAGUGAGAAAGGUCUUGGGAUCGUAAAACUUUGUUAUUAGGGAAGAAAAAAGGGGUAAGUAACGGGGCAAAACUGAAAGGAACCGAAUAAGAAGACCAGGGUAAACUAGGG
Molecule: ribosomal RNA, 496 nt
Filed under: uncultured bacterium
Lineage: Bacteria
Description: partial 16S ribosomal RNA
Rfam family: Bacterial small subunit ribosomal RNA
Source: RNAcentral